Long non-coding RNA from Falco peregrinus (peregrine falcon), 5830 nucleotides. RefSeq lists it as uncharacterized. Lineage: Eukaryota; Metazoa; Chordata; Aves; Falconiformes; Falconidae. The record is from RefSeq and is a predicted model, not a curated record. The transcript is spliced from 4 exons.
CAGCUGGAAAUGUUACAUCUGAAAAGGUAGAAACACCUUGAAUUUCAAUAGGCUUACAUUUUUGGGAAAAAAAUUAAAUGCUUUUUAUUUUUUCAGUUUAUAGUUAAGCUAAAAAUACACAUAAAAUAAAUAAUUUUAUUUAUUAUGUACAUAAUUUCAUUUUUACAUGUUAUACGAGGGUAUGACAUGGAGUCUGCACUACGGACAGAGGAGAUGCAAGUAGAAAAGUACAUAAAACUAAGCGUUUGUUUUUGCUUUUUGCUCUUCCCCUUUUCUUUCCCCCCCUUUCUCUAGGGGUGGCUGUUACUACCCAACUGGCAAAUGCUGAGGUCCCCACUCUGUCUUCACAUAUGCAAAAUUCUUAAAACAUCUAAAAGCUCUUUUGCCUGGAAAAGGCCAUCAAGUUUUUGACCAAAACUGAAGUAGAGGAGGAGGAAAAAAAAGCCUCACCUUUUUUUAUCCCAUGAAGUAAAAUGGCAUUUGAAAAUAUGCUCAGGUGUGAAGCUGUUUCUGUGAUAGCUUUUUUUAAAUGAAGAUUUAAUUUGAUAUUAAAACUCGAUCGCUUAAAAAAACUGCUUGCAGAGUGAGCCCGGGUCUCUGGGGCUUGCCAUAUAGAAAAUAGAGUACUUAAGCAUCUGCUACUAUCCUUUGCUUCCCAAAGAACCCUAGCCCUCUAGUUCCCAGACCCGCCUUAAAAACACAUUCAGUAGUUUUUUAAAUAAGACUGUACAAUACCCAAAAAAUAGCUAGACCAAAAAGUGCCCCCUUGCUCAAAAACAACUAUUUAUAGUCAAAAGGCAUUUCGCUCUGUUGGGUAAAGGUAUCACAGUGUUCUGUUAGCUAAUGUGCUAAAAGGCCAGCGCCUUGGUUGAUCACGUUUUGUCCUAAGCGCAUCGUUUCUUCUGGCUUAGGGGUUACUGCUGAUAUGGAAAUGCUUUAAAUGGGAGAGGAGGGGGGAAAAAAUCCCCCAAAUAAACAAAAUAAUCCGUGCUAAAGGAGGACAUGCUAGCCAGGAGGAAUGGGCCACACUGUUUUCCGUAGCUGGUGAGCCACUGGUUGAGAAGGGUCGGGAUGUAAAGAAAGAACCGCAAGAUCCGUUUGGCUUUUAAAAUUGUGGGUGGUUGGAGCUGGGCGAGGGGGUCUCUAUUGCUGUUACGGUUGUUUUGUUUUGCACACCUUAAAAAACCAGCGCAGGUAAAAGUGUUUCCCUGAAGGAUAAAAUACUGUCAAACAUUCGGAAGAUAAGGAUCAAACACUUCUGCCUUUUAAAUAUACUUUUUUAGAUAAAGCAUUGUUCUCUUUUUCAAACAGUCGGUCUUGGUCAUGAAUUUACUCCAGAGCAGUAGUUGUUCCGAGUGGAGGCAGUUAGGUGUAUAGUAUAUAAAUUAUUUGUUUGUAAAAGUGUAAUGGCCUGAAAUGGGGAAAGAAGUAGUGUGGAAAUGAAAUAGAAUCAAACUAGAAAUGUUUAGAAAAUAUGGUAACAUGGCUAGCACAGAGAGCUCCCCACCUCCUCCUCCAAAAAAAUAAAUAAACCAGCAAGAGACUGACUUUAUAGUUGUUAGCUUUCACGUUGCACAUUCGCUGAAAUCUGUGGAUUAUUUUAGUAACAGUUUAUUUUAGAUGCUCCUCCAGUGAGCUGAUUUAUUAUUCACUGUGGUCUCACUGAUUCCAUUUAAUCUUACCAUGAUGUGAAUGAGAGUCACCAGUGCUCCCAGCACACCUGGGCAGGCUGCAACCAGCUGUGCCGUCUGCCUGGCCGGGGCCACCGUGGCCACCGUGCCGAUGGCCUGGCGAGUCCCUUCUGUGAGGCUGAGGUCCUUACAGCGCCGCCCCCCGCAAAAAACAGCUCCAGAGGGUUUUAAGUUAAGUAACAACUUUCAUUAAUUCGAGGCAGCCCUAGCGGUUGGGAUGGUUUUGGCUGUUUUUUGCCGUUUUGUUUGACUGUGGAUUUGCAGCAGAGGUGGGAGGGUGAUCCUGGUUUUUUGGAAAUCCGCCUUUGAAGCUGCACGGAUCUUUCUCAUGGACGUGUCUGUGGGACAGUGUUAGCACACUGCAGGACAAGUUACCUGCUUAAAGGAGAACUUGCAGAAGUUAAACCAAAACUGAAACUUGUCCUGGUUGAUUGGAAACUUGCUUGUCUUUGGGAUAUUGGCCUUUUGAAAAGGAAAGCAGAAAUAGCAAAGCAAAGCUGAGAAGUCCCAAGGGAAGUGGGACAUACACGUAAUGGUGUGAGAGCAGCAGGUGCUCAUGGAGUUUUCUAACCGCUACAAAACCCAGCAGUAAGUCAGAUCCUUGCUUAUGCUGUUAGUAACUGUCCAAAUACCCAGUGCAAACACCCUGCAACUGCUCGUGUUCCUGGAAGGGAGCUCAGAGUGCUCAUUGUGCCCUUCCUGGGCAAGUCAACUUACAGCUCCCGUCACUCAAACUAAAGACCUUUAUCCUGAGUAAGCGCUAAUGAAAAACAAAUUCCACCUACAGAGAGGGCUGGGCAAGGAGCUCCCCGGCAGGGACACUCCGCUGCCCAGGAAAGGUUUCUCCAGGACCGUCACGCUGGGAACGCGCCGCUGCCCGAGGUGCGUGUCCGGGAGCUGCCUUACCCUGCUCCUCGGGGCAAAACAGAGCCCUACUCCAGUAUCCUGCUGUGUGCGUGUGCAUCGGUGCUGGGCUGCCUGCGGAACCUCCCCGUGCUUAGAAAUCUGUUGCAUCAACCAAUUUUAACCUCUUUAAAAGGUAAGGUAUUUAUACAUGAAUAUAUUUAUUUAAAUACUCUUAAUAUUUACAGUGGCUGUUUCUGCUAAAAAUUAUGUUACAUGUACCAUCAGAAAAAAGGAUGAAACACAAAUACAGUAAAGGUGACAUUAAGGGUGAAACAUAAAUCACGAAAGCAAGGGUGUUAAAGAGUUUAGGCUUCCAGGGUAUGCUGCUCCUGCUCUCUGUCUACUGCAGAAGUCCCCUAAAUUCCCGUCAUGGGAAACCAUGCUAGUUUUCUAUGUGGAAAACUAUCGUAACGGACAUACAGUUAAAUCCUAACCUGAAUUAGUUGUAAGAAAAUAAAAGUACAUACUACUGCUACGAAUAUUAACUACUUAUGUAUAUAGCGCCUUUAAUUUGAAGAUCUGAAAGUGCUUAUAAAUAAUGAACUAACCCCCCCUGCGAGGUAGGUAAGUAUUAUUAUCCCUAUUUUACAGAUGGGGAAACUGGGGCAUUAGAGAGGCUGAGUGACUUGCCCAAGGUCACAGGUGAGGCAGGGGCAGAGCUGGGACUGGACCUCGGGAGUCCUGGCCUCUAACCCUGUGCUCUGCCCGCUGUGCAUGCUUCCUCGGGAGGGACCACAUGUACAAAUACUUGAGUAUUUACAUAUAUACCAGCAAGUGAAUAAUGUACAAUUAUCCAAAUAAUCUGCAGAGAUAUGUCAGUUAAUUUCUUGUUUCUGAAACAAUUGAUUUAAUCUCUGACCUGAGUACAAACACCUCCUAGCUCUACUUGAGAUUCUUAGCCCUGGAUGUUAUUAACUUUUUAAUUGGUGAUCAUUUGUAGGUGUGCUGCUUAAAAAAGCCAGGUGAAAAUGACACCGGGGAUGGGAGGUGGGAAAUGAAGCAACUUCAAGAGCUACAAACCUAAAGAAAGGGCAAAUGGUUGAGAUCUCUGUUGUUCCUAAUUCCAAAUUCCUUGCAUAUGCAUAAGGUUUAUUAUUGAAGUCCACAGGAUAAAGGCCAGGCUAUACCAGUUAGAGCACAGCUGUGCAUCUUGAACUGAGGCCAAAGAAAAGUUUAACUCCUGACAGGAGAAGCUCCAAGUGCCCCACCAGCUCCGGCCCUGAUCGCCUGCACAGACAGCACAGGGGUAGCGCACCGAGUCCUCUGAAGGAAAGAGUAACUUUCACUAAAACACAUUUCCUUUUGAAGCAGUUGAAAAUGGAAAAAUGCUAGUGAAAUCCCAAAUACUGGGACUACAAGUGAAUUAAAAAAACACCCCAGGGUUUGCUUAGCAAAUGUGUUUUUUCACAAGGUAUUUUAAUUUCCCUCCCCUGAAGCUUCUGUUUUAGAGUAAUUAUAAUUCACCAGCUGCUGUAAAGUCUAUUGCUACACCAAAGGGGAUGCAUAGAUGCCACCAAACAGAACUUUGCCUUUUGGGGGACGAAUUUGACAGUUUUGUAAACUCCUGGACACAUGUAUUAAUCGCAGCCAAAUCAAAUAUUUGUGUUAAAUUCCAAAGUCAGCUCAGACUGGCUCCUAGCUGGGAGCUAGGAGGUAUCUGAGUCAUGAAACAAACCCCAGGGGAGCCCCAGCCAAGCAGCCCUGUGACGUACCUCUUGCCUUUAACAUCACGUUAGUGAGAGAUUUUUUUUGCAGGCUGCAUUAUCCCUCAUGCCAUUCAAGUGUGGCAGCUCCUACCCCUGCCCUUUCAGGACGCAGCAGGGGAACGUGACUCACGCCGUUUGCACAGAAUAGAUUUGCGCUGCCCGGUGUCACUUUUACAUUUUUGGGAGGCACCACUGCAGAGUUAAUUGCGUUCCUUUUUGUUAUUUGUACCCGUUAAUGCAGUGCUGCGUUUGGAGGACACGAUAUAAUCAUCACCAGCAGCAGUGUGCUUGCCUAAAAGCCUUUCUGCUGGCCAGGGAUACAAACCCUGCUUCUGUCCCAGCCCCAGCCGCGGUUGAUGUAAUCUGCAUAACCAUACCGGCAUUGUUUUAAUUCUUGUUACGCAGGAAAUACCAUAAAGGUCUGCUGGCCCCAUGUCAAGUAGAGUUUGUAAGCUGCGGUGUGGUUAGUUCACAGAAGAGGUGACUUUUGGCACCCACCCUUGGGAUACCCGCUCACGUCACCUCCCCGGGGAGCAGGGCCGUGAGGGUGACCGCACAAGCAGUAACGAAGCUCUGUCGUACCGCAAGGCCGUUCCUGAGCUCCCGAUCAGGACUUGCUUCUUCCAAGAAAGCGGCUGACUAAUAACAGCUCUGAAGUGGUGAAAUGCUGCUCACCGGCGCAGGGAAGAUGCUGUCUCUUAGCACUUGCCAUACACCAGGAGGACGGUUUGCUUCCGAAAGCCUGACAGCCAUCAGAGAGGCAGCAAAAAGCAAAUGCAGCAGUGGAAUUAAGAUCAGGAAUUUUUACAAAAAAUCCAGAUACAGCUUGAGGGCCGGGGGUUGGUUCAGCUCAUUAGAAAUGUGAAAACCAGACUGAGGUUUGUGUUCGAAGCAGCCACAGCUUGUCUGGGGUCAAUUCGUCUGUGCAGAAGUUGGGAGCAAGGCUGGGUGCUGGGUUCCACCGUCAGCCUAACUGGAAGGUCAAGCUGCUCACUACAGAGGGAAUUUCUUAUGGGAAUUAGUUAAAUAAGCAAAUCUAACAUGUUCUAGCUGGAUGAUCAAAUGGGUCUCUUAUUCAGUAACGAUUUACAAUAUUCAUAUAAUAAACCACCUGAAAAAACACACACAACUGAAAGAAUCAGAGGUCAUAUUGCUUAAAGAAAACAAAAAGCCAGUUUUGUUUUGAAACCAUUUCUAAAACCAUUUUAAAUAUGAUUCUCGGCCUUCUGCUAAGCCACUGCUCACCAGCUGGUUGUGUUGGCGAGGAAAAUCGAGCAGGACGCGGAGCCGAUCAUGUUGGACAGCAGCAGCGAUGACCCAGCAGUGGUGGGACGAUGCUGACAGCGCUGGAGAAAUCCUUUACUGGGCCACCAGUGCGUCUGAAGUCUGUGUGGGGCGAAGACUAAGACUGCAUCUGAAGGGACUGCUGUGGGGUACAGUGACCUUAUAAAUGGUGAAACCUUUAGUAUUUGUGAGUGUAAAAAAAAAAAAAAAAGUAAAUUAAAAAAGGUGUGGAAGGCUAUAAAA